UGUAUGCAAAAUGUAAAUACUAUAUAUUAAAAUUAUCAAAUUUAUACAAAAAUAUGUUUAAAGUAUAUGAAUACAUUAUAAUUUUUUUAGAAACAGCCAUGGGGACUUCUUUUCAAGGAAUAAGUUCACUUCAGCAACAAUAUCGAAAAGCGGUUCACCGAGUGGGUGAGCUUCUUGUUUAUAGGUAAUUAAUAUAUUGGUUUGGAUGAUUAUGUCUCCAAUCGUGACCAAACUAUAUAGUUCACAUCUCAGUAUUGAGAGUUUAAACUACGCAAAAAACAAUAGAAUUGUGAUGUUAUCUUUUCUACCGCAUUGUUCACACAAGUUACAACCUCUGCAUAGGAUAGUAUUUGGACCCUUUAAAAAAUAUGUAAAUUCUGCUUGUGAUGCUUGGAUAUUAAACAACCCAAUCCACACAAUGAAUAUCUAUAAUAUUCCUGAAGUUGUUGCUGUUGCUUAUCCUCUUGCCACGUCACCAACAAAUAUUCAAGUAGGUUUUAAAUGUACUGGCAUAUUUCCUUAUAAAAAGACAUUUUUUCUGAUUUGGAUUUCGCACCAAGUUUCAUUACUGAUAAGCCACUAGUUAAAGAAAAUAAAAAUAAUGACGAACAGCAAGCCAUGACAGGACAUAUAAUGGAUGUAGGAACAAUCAGUUCUUCAGAGUGCUUGUCGCCCAAUCGUUUUCUAAAAAGUCAGACGAAGGUUUUGAAAUAUUAAGCUCUCAAGAUCUUCGCCUUUUUCCUAAAGCUGGAAAAAUGCUCGUAAGUGCGCAAGAAAACGAUCGAGUAACAGCAAUUCUUACUGAUACAGUGAAGAGGAAAUUGGAACUCGAAAAAAUAGAAAGUAAGGAGAACAGAAGAAAAGGGAAAGGUAUAAAGAGACUAUUUGAAGAAAAUAAUAAAGAUACCAAAACUAAUUAUGCUAAAACAUCUAAAAAAUUUAAACAAAUCAUGAAAAAGGUUAAAAAAGAAACAAUAGCUCUUAAAGAAAAGGAAUGUUUCUGUUUAGUUUGUAUGAAAUCUUAUUCUAACAGCCGGGUCUAUAACGAGUCGCUAGUCGGUAAUCUGUAGUCUUAAAUCGCAAUCUUAAGUCGAUUCGAGAUUGGAAAGACUAUCGGUGAGUCUGAGUUGGUGAAUCAGUAAAGGCCAACAGCCAACUUCUAAGAUUACAGACAUCAAAUUUCAUACGACUGGCCAAUCAUAUGCUUUGCCAGUAUCGGCUCAUUGCCAGUAUUGCUCUUUGCAAAGCGGCUCAUUGUGGAUGUGAAAAAUUAUAGAAUCACCGACUUAGGUUAAGACUUAUGACUUCCAACUAUCGACUACCGACUACUGACUCAUUGUAGACCCGGCUUAAUUUCAGAUGCCAAUAUUAAAGAGAAAUGGGUCCAAUGCAUUCAAUGUAAAGGAUGAUCUCAUGAAGUAUGUGUUUCUGAUGUAUCACAUUAUAUAUGCCCCAACUGUGAGUCUGCAUGAGCUCCUACAGCUCAAAGUUAUUACAAAAUUUAUGAGUCUUCUAUUAUAUAUACCCAAGUUUAUGAAAGUUAAAAAGUUUAUGAGAAUUAUUUCUUUAUUUACUCUUACUCUUGUUGUAAGUUUAUAAAAGUUAAUAUUAUAAGUUUAUAAAAAUUAUUGUUCUUUUAUUUAUUCAAUGUUUAUAAGAGUAUUGCAAAGUUUAUCAAAAUUUUUAAUUUUUUAUU
Molecule: RNA transcript, 1696 nt
Organism: Monomorium pharaonis (pharaoh ant)
Lineage: Eukaryota; Metazoa; Arthropoda; Insecta; Hymenoptera; Formicidae
Gene name: cytochrome P450 4C1-like
Exons: 2
Source: RefSeq, a predicted model, not a curated record